UACGAAGGGUGCAAACGUUGCUCGGAAUUAUUGGGCGUAAAGCGCACGUAGGCGGCUUAGCAAGUUGGAUGUGAAAGCCCUCGGCUUAACCAAGGAAGUGCAUCCAAAACUGCAGAGCUUGAGUACUUAAGAGGAUCGCGGAAUUCCCGGUGUAGAGGUGAAAUUCGUAGAUAUCGGGAGGAACACCAGUGGCGAAGGCGGCGAUCUGGGAAGAUACUGACGCUGAGGUGCGAAAGCGUGGGGAGCAAACAGG
This 253-nucleotide ribosomal RNA is filed under the name uncultured bacterium. RNAcentral describes it as "partial 16S ribosomal RNA". It matches the Rfam family "Bacterial small subunit ribosomal RNA", at positions 524 to 776 of the family's 1533-position model. The record is from RNAcentral.